CGCCCCUACUGGCUUAUGCUCGUGGGCUGUCAGCCCACUGUGCCACUCUGCCUGGGUGUGCUGAAGGGUCAUGGUUGCAAAUGGCUUACCUGGAUCCCUGGUGUCCGGUCUCUUUGCAGCUUGUUGCCUCUCCUGGACUCUCUCGUGCUGGAGGACUUCCCUACUGGCUUAUCCUCAUGGACUUUCAACCCACUAUCCCACUCUGCCUGGGUGUGCUGAAGGACCAUGGUUGAAGAUGGCUUACCUGGAUCCCUGGUGUCUGGUCUCUUUGCAGCUUGUUGCCUCUCCUGGACUCUCCCGUUCUGGAUCUGGAAAAAGAUAACAUAAAUUUCACGCACCCAUGAAAAAACUCCCUAAAAACUGAAUUUCACAAGGC
Long non-coding RNA from Pseudophryne corroboree (corroboree frog), 376 nucleotides. RefSeq lists it as uncharacterized. Lineage: Eukaryota; Metazoa; Chordata; Amphibia; Anura; Myobatrachidae. The transcript is spliced from 3 exons. The record is from RefSeq and is a predicted model, not a curated record.